RNAcentral lists this ribosomal RNA (451 nucleotides) under uncultured bacterium. Its description in RNAcentral is "partial 16S ribosomal RNA". It matches the Rfam family "Bacterial small subunit ribosomal RNA", at positions 29 to 523 of the family's 1533-position model. The record is from RNAcentral.
AACGAACGCUGGCGGCAGGCUUAACACAUGCAAGUCGAACGGUUGCAGCAAUGCAGCAAUGGCAGACGGGUGAGUAACACGUGGGAACCUUCCUAGGGGUACGGAACAACUCAGGGAAACUUGAGCUAAUACCGUAUACGUCCGUGAGGAGAAAGAUUUAUCGCCCUUAGACGGGCCCGCGUCGGAUUAGCUAGUUGGUGGGGUAACGGCCUACCAAGGCGACGAUCCGUAGCUGAUCUUAGAGGAUGAUCAGCCGCACUGGGACUGAGACACGGCCCAGACUCCUACGGGAGGCAGCAGUGGGGAAUCUUGGACAAUGGGCGCAAGCCUGAUCCAGCCAUGCCGCGUGAGUGAAGAAGGUCUUCGGAUUGUAAAGCUCUUUUGCCAGGGACGAUAAUGACGGUACCUGGAGAAUAAGCCCCGGCAAACUUCGUGCCAGCAGCCGCAGUAA